This 1033-nucleotide long non-coding RNA is filed under the name Homo sapiens (human). RNAcentral describes it as "small nucleolar RNA host gene 1". The record is from RNAcentral. Lineage: Eukaryota; Metazoa; Chordata; Mammalia; Primates; Hominidae.
UCUCAUUUUUCUACUGCUCGUGGAUUUACGCGCACGUUGGAACCGAAGAGAGCUCUGUUGUUGCAAUGUUCAGCCCACAAGAGCUUACUGGUGAAGGAAUGGGACAAGACCCAUCUUUAUGCAAAGCCAGCGUUACAGUAAUGUUCCAGGAGCAGCUUGUUGCUAUAUACCAUUGAAAAGCCUUCAGAGCUGAGAGGUACUACUAACCAAUAACCUGCUUGGCUCAAAGGGCCAGCACCUUCUCUCUAAAGCCCAAGAGGAGUUUGAGGAAAACUAGGUGUCUGUGUUCACUCCAGGCUGAAGUUACAGGUCUGAGCAAAUAAGGUGUAUAAAAAAUGGAAUCUGUCUUGGAGGACAUCAGAAGGUGAAUUUUCCAAGUUCUUGGACAACCUAGCUGUUGAAAAGCUUUCUGGGUUUGGGGGGUAUUUCAGAUGUACCUUAAAGUGUUAGCAGACACAGAUUAAGACACUGGGAGCCAAUGAAACAGCAGUUGAGGGUUUGCUGUGUAUCACAUUUCUGUAUUUUAUCACCCCCUUCCUGCAACAUUAUUUAUCUGGAAUCUACCUGCCCUUUUGUUUUUUAGAUACAAGGGCUUGGUUUUGUUACCCAGGCUGGUUUCAAGGCCAUAGCUUUAAGAGAUCCUCUCACCACAGAUUUCCAAAGUGCUGGGAUUGCAGGUGUGAUUCAUGGCACCCAGACUUUGCUGCCUUUCUUACAUGAUCCAGGCCCAGAACCCAAACUCAGGCACUGUAUAGAUGACCACUUUCGUAAACUACUGACCUAGCUUGUUGCCAAUUGUUGAUUGAACUUCCCAUAACUCCACUUCGUGUCUGUUCCUCUGUAUACAGCCACCUUCUGUUCCCGUCAUGAGCCUUUAGGUCUCCAUUUGCAUAUUGCAAAUACUAUGUUCCAUGUAGGUAGCUCAUUCAGGGCCUUGCUCUUCACUUCAAAAAAGGUUCCCUUGAGGACUGGCUGUCAAUUUGUGUUGCUGUGUUGGUUGUUGAUGAAAAUAAUAAAAUGAUUGAUUACAUAG